Molecule: ribosomal RNA, 458 nt
Filed under: uncultured bacterium
Lineage: Bacteria
Description: partial 16S ribosomal RNA
Rfam family: Bacterial small subunit ribosomal RNA
Source: RNAcentral
CCUACGGGUGGCAGCAGUGGGGAAUAUUGCACAAUGGGGGAAACCCUGAUGCAGCGACGCCGCGUGAGUGAAGAAGUAAUUCGUUACGUAAAGCUCUAUCAGCAGGGAAGAAAUACUGACCUUACGGUCAGCAGCCCGUACCUGAGUAAGAAGCCCCGGCUAACUACGUGCCAGCAGCCGCGGUAAUACGUAGGGGGCAAGCGUUAUCCGGAUUUACUGGGUGUAAAGGGAGCGUAGACGGUGCGCCAAGUCUGGCGUGAAAUGCCGCAGCUUAACUGCGGAACUGCUUUGGAGACUGGCGGACUAGAGUGCGGGAGGGGUAAGCGGAAUUCCUAGUGUAGCGGUGAAAUGCGUAGAUAUUAGGAAGAACACCGGUGGCGAAGGCGGCUUACUGGACCGUAACUGACGUUGAGGCUCGAAAGCGUGGGGAGCAAACAGGAUUAGAUACCCCGGUAGUC